GUCUAAGUUCCUUGGAACAGGACGUCAUAGAGGGUGAGAAUCCCGUAUGUGACCGGUAACCAAGCCCAUGUGAAACUCCUUCGACGAGUCGAGUUGUUUGGGAAUGCAGCUCUAAAUGGGUGGUAAAUUUCAUCUAAAGCUAAAUACCGGCCAGAGACCGAUAGCGCACAAGUAGAGUGAUCGAAAGAUGAAAAGCACUUUGGAAAGAGAGUUAAAAAGUACGUGAAAUUGUUGAAAGGGAAGCGCUUGCAACCAGACUUGCUCGCAGGUAAUCAACCGUCCUUUUGGGCGGUGCACUUGCCUGUGAUCAGGCCAGCAUCGGUUUGGGCGGUCGGAUAAAGGCCCCGAGAAUGUAGCUCCCUCCGGGGAGUGUUAUAGCUCGGGGUGCAAUGCGACCAGCCCGGACCGAGGACCGCGCUUCGGCUAGGAUGCUGGCGUAAUGGUUGUAAGCGACCCGUCUUGAAACACGGACCAAGGAGUCUAACAUCUAUGCGAGUGUUUGGGUGUCAAACCCAUGCGCGUAAUGAAAGUGAACGGAGGUGGGAACCCUUAAGGGUGCACCAUCGACCGAUCCUGAUGUCUUCGGAUGGAUUUGAGUACGAGCAUAGCUGUUGGGACCCGAAAGAUGGUGAACUAUGCCUGAAUAGGGUGAAGCCAGAGGAAACUCUGGUGGAGGCUCGCAGCGGUUCUGACGUGCAAAUCGAUCGUCAAAUUUGGGUAUAGGGGCGAAAGACUAAUCGAACCAUCUAGUAGCUGGUUCC
RNAcentral lists this ribosomal RNA (761 nucleotides) under Miriquidica sp. DS8170. Its description in RNAcentral is "eukaryotic LSU rRNA". It matches the Rfam family "Eukaryotic large subunit ribosomal RNA", at positions 179 to 958 of the family's 3401-position model. The record is from RNAcentral. Lineage: Eukaryota; Fungi; Ascomycota; Lecanoromycetes; Lecanorales; Lecanoraceae.